UUUUUUUUUCUCAAAUGCUCUGUGUUGAGGGGUUUGGGCUUUAUUUUUGGAUGUCCGAUCAGGUGUCCUGCCCAGCUCAAAGGCAGACUAGCCACUGUUUGGCUGCCGAGGCUCCGCCCUGCUGUUGUGUGAUUCGCGCUGUUCCUGCCGGCUCUGCUGUGGUCUCCGCGACGCCCUGCGGCGGAGUCUCUUCGUUGUAGCGUGUUGCCUCAGCAACGGCAGGCUGCGUCAGCAGUGGGCGUGUAUCUCAGUAGGGGCGGGUUGCCUCGGCAACGGCAGGCUGCGUCAGCAGUGGGUGUGUAUCUCAGUAGGGACGGGUUGCCUCGGCACCGGCUGGCUGCCUCAGCAGUGGGCGUGUAUAUCAGUUGGGGCAGGUUGCCUCCGUAGUGGUGGACGCCCCUCCCCCACAGAGCGUCUCGGACCGUCUGCCCGGGAUAGUUUGAAAUCGCGGUUUUGUUCGUCCCACUGGGGAUCCCAAGCGAUCUGUCCCUGCAAUCCCCUGGGCUGGGCUACUGUGCAAGUCUCGUUCAGUCUCAAGUCCAGCCCUCUCAAGUCUCAGGUUGCCGGUUCAACAAGGCACCCGGACAAGCGCGCCCUGUGGGGAUUGCUGGGUAGGGCCGGCCGCCACCGCCCCGGCUGCUGGCUUCGCCAGGCAGACCUACUGCCUGGCGUCCCGUGUCUUUUUAUACUUGGGAGUUUCCCCGUUCUGUGGGCAACAAAGAUCAGUCUGGAAAUGCAGCACUGACUCACCGUUUGCGAAUUCAACGCGGGCUCCAAUCCUGGGUUGUUCUCACAGCGCCAUCUUGAGUCCCCUCUCGCAUUUUUCAAUGCAUAAGACAACUCCCUACAACAAAGAAUUACCCAGCAUAAAAUAUAGUACCUAGGUUGAGAAACCCUGCUUGAAUAAGACGGAUACAUUGCACAAGGAGGAUUAGAAUUUUCAUAAGUGGAUAAAUGGGGACAAGAAUCACAGAGACAUUACUAUAUGAGCAACGCCCUAUGGGGAAAAAUAUAGGUGUUGUUCAGGAAAUAGGAGGGAGGACUUCAGUGGGGUAUAAGGUACACAACUGAGGCUGGGGAAGCUGUAAAAGGAAAGGGGCGUUAGCAUUUAGGUUGAUGCAGAGAGUACAAGCUGCUCGAGUUUGGAUUUUAUUCUUUUGGCCAGAGAGAGCCACAGAAGGAUUUUAAAAAUGGAAGCAAUAGGAUUAAAAGUGUGUUUUAGAAAUAAAAUCAGAGGGAAAAGCUUUGAUUCUCAUAGCAGAUUGUAAGAAAAUUCCUUUGAGGGAGUCACCUUUAUUUUGGGUGUUGUCUGUUGAUUAUUAGCCUCUAGUUGUUGGAAAAUAGCAAAACUACAGAAAAGGGAGAAAUUCUGUGUAUUUGGGCCUGCUUGGGAUGGGCAGUGAGGAGGUGAGGAGGGGGCACGGGAAUGAGAGAGUGGUGCAAUGCUGAUGUUUAUGCUGUGAGAUACUUCCUCAUGGCUUCCAGAACUUUGAUAAUCUUUACAAAAAUCACAACAUGCUUGUUGUGCUUAGAUUUCUUGGGCAAAAUGACUAUAUUUGGGUUCAUUAUGAAGAUUGGGAUAGGAGGUUGGUGACAAUGGUGCAAUGGUGGUAUAGAAGUAAUAAUUGGGAUGCUUCUGUAAUGGGCAGUUUCUUCUCCUUCUUCCUUUUAGAUCCUGUAGUCCUGCCCCACAGAACUGCUCACUCUUCUCCAAUAUGCCAGUCUGUGUCAUGCUUACAUGUUCUUCUCUCUGCUUGGCACAUUGUCCUUCUCUGUCUAGUAAACUUCUGCUCAUCCUUGAAGACUGACUUCAAAUGUUCCAUUCUUUGCUCUGCGCUGUAUACGAAAUAUCAAUAUUGUGUUGUGUUUGCUAAAGUGUUUAUUUUCCCCAACCAGAGAGUGAGCCCCUUCAGGGAUAAGAUUGACGUAGUAAUCAUCUCUGACUCUCCAGCAGGUAGCAAAGCGUGUUACCCAAGUGAUUAUUCGCUGAAUGAACCGUGGGUAAUAAGGUCAGUGAGUGGCAGAAAGAUUGUGGCUCUGGGCCCACAUAGCCUUUGCUUGGCUGCUGUUAGAACUAUAUAUUUUUUUCUCCUUAUUAAUUUUAUAUUUUAAACUUCAUCCCCUAGCUUUAACAUUUCCUUCUGAUAGAUGAUAUUCUAUCAGGAAGAGGAAAAAAAAAAAAAAAGGGCAAAGUACAACUUUAAGCCUUGAGUAAAUGGGCUAAAAUCAUGUUUCAAUGUGCUUUUUAGAAUACUUCCAUGUAAUUAAUUUAACAUUGACCUGCUUAUUAAGAAUCCAUUAUUAAGAAAACAAUUGUAAAAAUUAUUAAGAGCAUUUCCACAGAUCUUAGCUACUGACUGACUCAUCUUGCUAGUUCUUAAUAAACUUGACCUGAAAAUCUCUCACUCACAGUAUCAGGUAAAAUUUUAUUUUUUUAACCAUUAGCAAACAUUUACCCUUGGGUUGAUUUUUAUGUGUUUUUAUUGUUGUUGUUAAUGUGAAGAAAGUCCUGUACAGGAACAGCUGCACAUAUGGGACAAUGCCCAGGCAUGGUUUAAAGACCCCUUUUCAAAACAUCUUCCCCACACUGGUAUUAUGCAAUGCCUCUGCCUCAACAAUUAAUAAGUAUUUCCUUUUGAGUUAAACCAUGACGUAUAUAGCCACACUAGCUUAUUUUGAGAUAGGGCAAGACUCUUCUGGCAUCAGAAAUACAUAUUUGGAACGUGGAUAUUUUGUCUUUUCUGUUUGUUAUUUCAUCUUAUAUUUUCCUUCAGAAUUUAGUAAAAUCCUUUAUGAAAGUAUAAGCUGGCUCAGGUUAGGGGUUUUCAACUCUGCUAGGGGGCAGGGUUUAAUGGGGGAGACACAUCCACCCUAGGUCUGAGGAAGUGAUGAAGACGAUGCCACAUUUUCAAAGGGCCCCAGAGCCCUGGCAUGACCCUCAUCUCUCCUCCCACAGCACUCACAGCCUCUCAACCUCAAUCUGCUAAGAGACAAUCCAGGGCAAUCUCACCACUUCCUUUAUCCCAUAUUCCACACUAUAAAUUUAUUCCUAAUAGUCUAGAUCUAAUCCUAUCUGUUUAUUUGUUAUUCUGGCCCACUGCCCAUUUCCUACUUCCACCCCUUUUUCUGUGCCCUGUGGUCCAUCAUUGGCAAAAGCCCUCGUGUUCUCAGCCUCUUCUCUUAGUGUCUCCUAUACAUUAUUGUUUUCAAAGAAACCUGGACCUCUGAGUCCAGCUUUCUUGUAGCCUGUUUGAGUGGUGCUUGUUUUCUGUUCCAUACCCCUUUGAGCUAAUAGGAUAGAGUAUGACUCUGGUGAGAUCAAAAUCAUGUAGCCUGUAUUUGGAAUGUGAAUUUGAAUAGAAUUCUGGACUUAGAGGUGGAGAGAUGUCUCCCUGGUUUUUAUUGCUCCUAUCUGACCAAGUUCUCUUCUCCCUUGGGGUGGAAGUUAGACAUUAUCACCAGCUACCCUUUCUUAUUUCAGUCAUCUGCUGACUGGGUUACUGUCUCACGUUCCCUGAAGACGUAAGCUCCCAGCUCAUCCUCACUUGUUUGUGACAACAAUGUCGGUCACAAUUUCUAGUGAUUUAAUCUCCGUGUAGAUGACCAUUUCUAUGCUUUCUGGCAUCUGAGUUCCCUGACCUCUUCUCCUAUAAUGAUUUCAUUCUCUUCCAACCUCAGCCACUCACUCCCAUGGAAUGGGCCAUUCAUACAUAGCCUUCCCUCAACUUUGUCCUUAUCAGUAACUGUUCCUCUUCCAUAAUCUCAGUCUCCCAUCCAAGAACUAACCAGAUCCAACCCUGCAUGGCUUCUGAGAUCAGACAAGGUUGGGUAUGUUCAGGGUGGUAUAGCCAUAGAUAAAAUAUCAAUCUCAAGUAUUCUACCCUAGGCCCACCACCUCCUAUCUUUCCAGCUCACUGUCUCUCACAUCUUGACUUAAAAAUCCUUUAACCUAACAGUGAAUUUGUCCUACCAUCUUUUCCCUGUCUUUUACAUCUCAUGUAUCCUUAGCUCCUUAUCCAUCCUAGAUCUUAUAGUCUGUCAUAAUCAUCACUCACUUCAUGCACCCUGAACUCCCAGGAGCCUCUUUCAUGUCUUUUCCCUUUGGAAAACCACCAGUCCUAGUUAUUUGCCGCACUUUUCCUACUCUGCACCUGUUUUCUGGUUGCUGAACUUGGCUGGAGGAAAGUACCCAAUCUACUGCAUUGUCUCACUUUAAACUCAUGAGCCCUAAAUUCAAGUGGGCCCAGCAAUUCUAAUUCAUUCAAAGACUUUGUGAACUCUUGCUUCACAAGCAUGAUCUCACACCCUCUGCUCUCUCCUCAAACUUUUGGCACUUCCUUCUUCAUUCUCAGCUGAUGACCUUGAUUCCCUUUACAAAGGCGAAAAUGGAAACAAUCAGAAGAGAACUUCCACAUGUGGUUCCCAUCACUUCUUCCCAGCCUGCUUGCAUCUUUGCCUGUGUCCCCUCAUCUAUUCUGCCAUCCUGAGGAACUGUCCAUGAGUCUAUCCACGGCAUAACACUCCUUUUAUAUACUAGGUCCCAGGACCACAUAUCUACUUAAGGAGAUCACCCUAGCAAUUUUACUGAAGCCAUUUUGGAGAGGAUUUCUUUCUUUUCUUUUCUUUUCUUUUUUUUUUGAGACAGAGUCUCAUUCUGUUACCGAGGCUGGAGUGCAGUGGCACAAUCUCAGCUCACUCCAACCUUCACCUCCUGGGUUCAAGAGAUUCUCCUGCCUCAGCCUCCCAAGUAGCUGGGAUUACAGGCGUGCACCACUAUGCCUAGCUAACUUUUGUAUUUUUAGUAGAGACGGGGUUUCAUCAUGUUGGCCAGCCUGGUCUUGAACCUCUGACCUCAAAUGAAAUAGAUUGGGCCUGGCUCAGCCUCCCAAAGUGCUAGGAUUACAGGCAUAAGCCAUGGUGCCCAGCCAAGGCUCUCUCUUUCUUCUUCCUGAUCAAUUUACAUCCAUCAGUGUAUAAACAUGCUUAUGAUUAUUUCUGUAUUAAAAUACUUUUCCUGAUCUCAGGCUUCCCUGCAACUACCAUUGCAUUUUUCUAAUCUUCUUUAAAACAAAACUUUUUCAAAGUAUUGUCCAUACUUGUAGUAUCCAUUUCUGCUCUCUUACUCUCUUCAAUCACUCUAAGUAGACUUUUAUCUACACCAUUUCACCAAUACAGCCCUUGUCAAUGCCUCCAGUGACUUCCAGGUUGUCAAAGCGAAUUGUCAGUUCUCAGUCCUUAUCUCACUUGAAACAAUUGAUCACUGCCUCUUUGAUACAUUUUCUUCAUUUGAUUUCUGGGAUAUCAUCCUCUCAAGUCUGAGCACUUAACAUGUGGCCAGCUCAAAUAGAGAUGUCUGAGUCUUCUCUCAAAAUCUGCACUGAUCUUAUUGGAUACUUUCUCAAUCUUUUUAAUGGUUUCUCUUACUUGGCUCCUUAAUUUUGAAGGACCCUCAGAAUUUUAUCCUUAAACCUGUUCUUUGUCUACACUCACUAGAUGACUUCAUUUUGUCUAAUAACUAUAUACUAUCCAAUAACUACAUGCUAUCAGUGCUGUCCCAUAGAAAUAUAAUGUAAGCCACAUUAUAGAUAGGUGAGUCAUAGAUAUAAUUUUGAAUUUUCUCAUAGCCACAUUAAAAAAUGAAAAGGGAACAGGUUAGAUUAGUUUAAUAACAUAUUUUAUUCAGCCUGAUGUCUUAGAAAAUUAACAUUUUAACAUAUGAUCAAUGUGAAAUGAAUAAUGUUUUUCAUUCCUUUUAAAAUAUUAUUUGAAUUUCAGUGUGCAUUUAGCACUUACAGCACAUCUCAAUUUGAACUAGCAACGUUUUAAGUGCUCAGUAGCUGCAUGUGGCUAGUGGCUGUAUUGGACAGCACAGAUCUCUAUACUGGGCACUGGCUUUUACUGAGUAAUGUAGCCAAUGGAAAGGUUUUUUUAUAUAUAAAGUUUUAAAUUAAAAAACAUAUGUACAGAUGGGGUCUCACUAUGUUGACCAGGCUGGCCUCAAAUUCCUGGCCUCAAUUGAUCCUCCCAUCUCAGCCUCCCAAAGUGCUGGAAUUACAGGAAUGAGCCACUGCACCCAACCCAAAUGGAAAGUGUUGAGGAGGGAAAUGACAUGACUACUCAUUUUUUAAAAAACUGAAAUGGAGUUUCACUCUUGUUGCCCAGGCUACAGUGCAGUGGCGUGAUCUCGGUUCACUGCAACCUCUGCUUCCUGGGUUCAAGCGAUUCUCCUGCCUCAACCUCCCAAGUAGCUGGGAUUACAGGCAUGUGCCACCAAGACAGGCUAAUUUUUUUUUUAAUUAAAUACGGGAUUUCACCAUGUUGGUCAGGCUGGUUUCGAACUCCUGAUCUCAAGUGAGUCGCCUGCCUCGGCCUCCCAAAGUGCUGGGAUUACAGGUGUGAGCUAUCACGUCCAGCCAGACUACCCAUUUUUGAAAGGCCGCCCUGACCACUCUGUUGAAAAUAAACAAUGUGGGAGUAUGGGGACAGCAAAGAGACUAGCUAGAAGGUUAGUACGGUCAAAGAUGAAGGAGACAGCGGGGUAGACGGGGAGAAGCAGUGGUAUGUUGAAGGUAGAUCAUGUUGAAUAAUAGGAUUUCCAAAUGGAUUGUACAAAGAGAAAGGAGUCCAGGGUGGCUCCUGGAUUUUUUAUCUGAACCACUAGAGGAAUGGAAAGAAUACAGCUGACUCUAGGUGAGAUGGGGAGGACUGAGAUGGAGAAGUUCUGGAGAAGGCAGAGAUUGGUAGUUCAAAUUUUGGAUUUGUUAAGUUUGAGUUUUCUAUUAAACAGACAGAAAAAAACCACAAACAGAAAAAAAAUGAUGAUCACUUCAGAUAGCAACAUGUCAUAAAGAAAAGAAAAUAGCCCUAGAGUGACUGAGGAGGAGUUUCUUAGACAAGCUUGUUAGUGAAAGCAUCUCUGAAGAAGGGGCAUUUGAACUGAGUCCUGAAUGAUGAAAUGAGGCCAGCCAAACAAAAAUCUGGAAGAAAAUCAUUUUAGUCACAGGGUGCUACAAAGAUAAAACUUGGUGGCAGGAAUGUCUGAGAGACAGAAAAGCGGCCAGUGUUUCUGAAGUGGGUAAGAUGGAGAGGCAGGCAGGGGCCAGUCAUACAGUGCCUUGUCAGUCAUGGUGAAGGAUUGGAUGCUAUUUUAUGCACCAAAGGAAGCCUUUGGGAGGUUUUAAGCUAGAUGUAGCAUGAUCUGAUUUAUGUUUUAUUAAGAAAACUCUGGCUCCUCGAUGGCGCAUGGAUUUAUAUUAUAUUAAUUAUUAUUGCUAUUAUUAUUACAGGAGACAAAAGUAGAAGCAGGGAGAGCAAUUAGAAGCUUUUACACUAACUGUCAAAUACAUUAUGGUUCUUUCCACUACACAGCUCUUCAUUUCCUGCCUCUAAGUCUUUUCUUGAUUUCAAGGGAUUUCUGGAGGGAGAGAAUGUGUAUUAUAUUUAUUAUAUUUCUUUUAUUUUUAUUUUUUUAGAGAUGGGGUUUCACUAUGUUGGCCAGGAUGAUCUCAAUCUCCUGACCUCAUGAUCUGCCCGCCUCAGCCUCCCAAAGUGCUGGGAUUACAGGCGUGAGCCACUCCACCCAGCCUGAGAGUGUGUGUUCUUAAUAUCUGUGCCCUCUGACAUGCCCAGCACUAUGUCCCACCCACAGCAGGAGGCUCAGUACUUAUUUUUGAGUGAAUUAUAAAGCUCCUCUCAACAAGGCUGAGGAGAACGGUUUUUUAAAAUAUAUAUGUGUAUUUCUUGUAUAUAGCAUAUUGUCUGUCUCAUAGUUAAGACUCAGUGAAUGUCUGUUGGAAUGGGGCAAGACCUCACUUAAGAUAACCAGUUUACUGAGAGAGAUCCAUGGAUAGGCAGAGGCAGCAAAGACGGUUUGGGCUUUGCUAGCGUGGAGGGUAGGAAAAGGCAGGGAAGGUGGAGCAUGUUGAGAGAAGAGAGGUGGGUAAAGUCACCCACUGUGAGCAGGCCAAGGGUAGGUUUGGCCUACAUUUUAAUUUAAGGCGGCCUGGUUUCAUUGAUGGUGAUAUGAUCCCUAUGUGUGGAAAUAGCUGAAAUGGUUUGAUCACCAUGGGACCAUAAUCUGUUACCCAAAGCCUUCAUUAAGUAGAUAAUUCUGUUCAGCCUCACACAUAGCCAGGCCUACAGGAGUUUGCCAUCCAGCACUGAUACCGCUGCUGCAAGUCCCAGCAAACACAGGAUGGCAGGCCGAAUUCAAGCUUUCUGGCACUCGUUCUCUUCUGGCUGGGACAGAUGUCCUCAGGCCCAAUCUUGCGCUGGCAGAGAGUUAAGUGCUGGGCUGGGUCUGUGCUUUGCGGUGUGUGCUAGGCUUGCAUUUGAUUCUGUCCAAAAGAGGUCUGUGGGCCAGAGGGAUGACACUUGGCACCAAGAAAGUAACCCAGGUGUCUGGCCCUUAUUCAGUCCCAAAGCCUUAUUCUUUUCCCUCAAGUCUCUGCAAUCAUUUGGAAUCCAUGACUCAUCAUCCAGAGGGUUCAGUGCCUUUAGAUUAGGGAUCUACACCCAUAGCUGAUGAUCCACUGGACUACCACACUUGGCGUCUAAACAGAGCCAACAGGGCUGGUUACAAAUUCUCUGUUAAUUACUGUGUGUAAUUACACUAGACCCAAGGUUGGCGGGAGACACCCUACUCUGUUGUUAUUUUAUAUAUGAAUUGUGUAAAAUUUUUUAAAAGCACAUCAUUUUAACUUUCUAAUUAGGAUAUGGGGACUUGGGGGUGGCAACUGUUGUUAUUUAAUCAUGCUUUUCUGGGGAGGGAAGGAGAGGAAAAAAUUUUCCUUUUUCUAUCAACAAUUGCUCUCAUUUCUGCAUUAAGAGGGUGGAAACUUGGUUCCUCCCUCAUCCCCUUUGGCUCAGAUUCAUAAAGGUUGUUGAUUUUGACUUUGGGUUUUCCUGCUCUGUUUUUCCCCUCCUUUCAUGCUACCUAACACAAUACAUAAGUCUUCCUAGCCAGCACUCCCUAAGGGUGGGGUAAGAAACACAGCCCAUUAAAAAAAUUUUUUUUAAGCUUUGGGUAAUCUUCUUUUUAUAUUCACCCAAAUAAACCAGGUUGGUGGCAUAUUCUCCUUUGUUUUUGCAUCUGAGAUAAAGUUUAAAUGGUGCCAGAAUGAAUCACAUUGCUUGUGUUCUUGUACCCAGCUGCAAAACAUGCCAGGCUCAAGCCCAGGAACACAAGUAAGAUUGCAUGCAGGCAGAAAGCGCCAUCACUGUCUUAUCUCCUCCUGCUCUGCUAAAAACACUGCAUUUAUUUAUUUAUUUUGUUUUAUUUUUUCGAGAUGGAGUGCUCCGUUGCCCAGGCUGGAGUGCAGUGGCAUGAUCUCAGCUCACUCCAACCUCUGCCUCUCGCGUUCAAGCAAUUCUCCUUCCUCAGCCUCCUGAGUAGCUGGGGCUAUAGGCGCUCACCACCACAGGUGCCCAUCUUUAGUAGAGAUGGGGUUUCACUGUAUUGGCCAGGCUGGUCUUGAACUCCUGACCUCAAGUGAUCCACCUGCCUUGGCCUCCCAAAGUGCUGGGAUUACAGGUGUGAGCCACCACUCCUGGCCAAAAAAUUGCAUUUAUUAUAUACUGCCCAUUCUCGUGGAGAGCUCUUCACAUUCCAAUAUCAUUGUUGCCCAUCCUUUCCUUCCCUUUGAGAGAGACUCAGCAUUUCCCCUUUCCCAUCCUAUUCUCAUUCCUACUUCCUAGCUUUACUAUCUACUGUAUAACUUGCUGAGCUUGAGUUUCCUCUUGAGUAAAGUGGAGAUAAUAAGAAACACCUGCUUUGCCAAUGUCACACAGCUAUUGAGGAUCAAAUGAGUUAAUGGGUAGGAACAUGCUUUAUUUCUACAAAUGUAGGCUAUCAUCAGUAUUAUUUACCUACUGUUCUUCGUUAGCUAGCUACGUAGUCUAGCUUACCUCACCGCGUUUUGAAUGUAGAAGGCUAGCUGUUUCUGGUAAGUUUCAAAGCCCCAAGAAAAUGAUUGGAAAUGAAUCAAUAUAAGAACAUUUUCUUGUUGGGUAGUUCAUCCAAUUAUUAUGUAUGUUGUUUGUCUUCUUUUCAUUUGGAUAUAGGUUUCCUUCAGCUGCCAGUACUGUGAAAUAAAAGACAAUAUUAUAAAUCCUUUGGAGAUGAAGCAUUUCCAUCCUAAUAGCUGCUGCUCAAAAUUUGAUUUCCCCUUGAUUUUCAAUAAAAGGAGGAUAAUAGAAUGUUAUUAAUUCUAAUUAUAAAGCAACAGGAAUUCUAGGCAUUACUUUCAAAUAGCUGCUUUCAUGUCAGAAUAAUAAGUGUUGAGAGGAAGAGCUCUGAGUCCUUUACUUAUAUUCUUUAAUUAUUUUUAUACCUCUAAGGAAGAUGGACAAAUUGAGGCACAGAGACUCCACGGAAUUGUUGUCUGAGUUGUGACAGCGUCUCAUCUUCUUUUUCAUUUACACAUUUGGCAUAUUUUUUGCAGGCUUUGUAAAAAAAAAAACUUAGUCUAUGUUUACAAUUUUUGCACUGUUUUCAUUUUAUUUUUGGUUGGUGUUCACCCUGUGUUUCUGAGGGUUUGAAGCUGUCUACAAAAAGCUGCUGUCUUUGUCUCCAAAGAAUAUAUAAACCACUUUUGUAGAAUCAGAAUGUGUUAGGCGAAGCCCAUGUUUACAUAGGAAAAAAGCAAAAUGAAUUCAAUAUUAAUUAAUUUCAUGCUGGGUCUCAUGCUAGGCUCUUUACGCGUCUCAUUUUACAUAAUCCUCAUGGCAACUAUAUAUUAUAUAAUAUUUACAAAAUUUUUCACAAACUGAAGUGAGCAAGUUGCAUUAUUGGAGUUUAAACAUACCUGUGCUAUAUCCCUAUGAAAAAUCUAAUUUACUAUAUGUUCUGGUCUAUGGCAUUUACAUUUUUGAAACAUUCUAUCUUAGCAAAAUUGUAGUUACUUCCCCUUACCUUGACAGAUUCCACUGUUUUAGAUUUAAAAAAGAAAGUAUCCCCUUCACAUGCAAGUAUAUUAAGAUUUAGUUGUAUUUAAAAAGUUACACAUAAAUCUGCAAAAAUGCUAAAAUAUAAUUUAUUCAUAAUUCUUAUUCAAAUGGAAAGAUAAAAUAUUAGUGCUACUGUGUACAUGAUUUUAUGCUGAUUUAACAACUGCCUUAAUUACAAUUUACAUUAAAUACCUCAAAUUGCAUUCUGUGGGGUUUUUGCUGUUGUUUGCUUUUUUUUUUUUUUUUUUGAACAGUGAAAGUGAAACUUUUAAUGACAGUUUUGCAAGACUGGUGUUUGGCAUGCAGGCACACCCAGUACAGUUUUAACAAGCAAUUUAUCCCCCUUUUAAAUUCUCUUGAGCUGGAGUCUUGCUCUGUAGCCCAGGCUGGAGUGCAGUGGUAUGAUCUCAGCUCUCUGCAAUCUCUGCCUCCUGGGUUCAAGUGAUUCUCUUGCCUCAGCCUCCUGAGUAACUGGGACUGCAGGUGUGGGCCACCAUGCCCGGCAAAAAAAAAUUUUUUAAAGUAGAUACGGGGUUUCACCAUAUUGGCCAGGUUGGUCUUGAACACAUGACCUCAAUUGACUCCCAGAGUGUUGGGAUUACAGGCAUGAGCCACCAAGCCCGGCCAGCAUUCUGUGGUUUUAAAAGACAAUACAAAUAGUACUUACACUUGUCCUGUAUUUUUAAAGGAUUCUUGGGGGGGAAAAAGAGUUUCUGGUGGCUGGGGAACUACAACCAUGUACAAUGAGAAAAGUGUACUGAGUAAACAUAGAGACCACCUUCUGGUCUGCAGCUUUAAUCACCAAAGCUCUGUCAGUGCACAUAAAUACCUCUUUGCUGCUGGGAAGGUUGUAUUGCCUUUGCCCAAGGAGAGCCCCAGAUGGGAUUUGAAGCCUUCUAUACUUAGGGUUACCCUUUUCAGCCAAAUCUAAACCACUUAAAAAUAAAAUGCCACUUUGAGCACAGUGUGAUCACCCCCUUAAGGGAACUUGCAAAUAAUAUCAACCCUAAGAAACUAAAGGCAGAAAAGCAAAUGAAACCUUUUCACUUGUCUUUUCAAAGGGGGAGAAAACUAUCAGUCUUUGGACAAAUUCUUUACAAAUGACAUUAUAUAUUUUAUAUUCCAUAAAAACUCUACAAGGAAGGUAUAAUUUCCCCAAUCGUGUAGAUGAGAAGUAGCUAUGUAUUGUGUUUAAAGUCAUGUGGGAGCCCAGAUUCAAACCUAAAUUGGUCUGGCUUUUUCCAUUACAUCAAUAAUUCCUCCUUGGAGGAAUAAUUACCUGGAUUUUCUUCAUUGAAAAGUUAUCAAAUACAAUAGAACAAGUAUUUUUUUUUUAAAAAUAUGAAAACAAAACAUUUCUAGUCAGUUGUUGGAUUUCUUUAAAGAAGUUCUGGGUUAAUACCAGGUAGGCCUUUUACUAAUGUAUUUUAUUUCCUUCUGUCUGCCACCAGCUGGAGCUACUGUAUAAAAGCCAGUCAUUUUGAGUUCAAAGUGAACUGUAGAAUAGAAAGGUAGAAUACAUUUGCCCCUAAACAAUUUGAGAAUAAAUUGUGAGGAAUCGAAGACUGAGAAAUGUCAUGUCAUAGAUGAUUAAGUAAUAGCUAUUUAUCACUUAUUAGUUAUGUGAUUUGGUCAAGUUAUUUUGACUGUGACUCCAAGUUUAGUUAGUUAUGAAAUGGUUAUAACUACCAAUCUUGUGGGGAUCACUGUAUGGAAAGUUAAAUGUUAAGAAAUUAAUAUGUAGCCUAACACAUAGUAUUAAUAACACAUGUGGCCAUUAAUAUCAUUGGCAGUUAUUCAUUUUGCCAUCAGUAUCACAGCCCCAGGGAUGCUCAAUUUAUUGGUAACUACAAUUUAUAUUAUUAUUCAUUAUUGUGUGCCUGGCAUAUGGCAAGUGCCACUUGACUUCCCAUUUCUCAGUAUGUGAUUUUUGGGUGGAUGUCCUAGCCCAUGAGGAGAUGGCUUCAGUGUGGUGGACCAUGGGAUGGCACCCACACCUGGAGGCAUUCUGCUUGGAUGUCACAGGAAAGGAACCUGUGAGAGGCAUUUUUGAGGUUGAUCAGGUCAUUUUGGGUAAGAGCAGUGUUUCUCAAUAUGUGUUCUGCAGGAUUCUUGUCUCACAUGGACCAAAGAAGAAAGAGAAAUAUACCACAUAUAUCCCUUUUCCACUUUAGGGAGCCACAAUGCAUGAACACCGUGAUUAACUAGCCCACGCCACAGAUCUGUGUGAGUCAGAAUAUUCUAAUUGCUGCUUUGACUCUGCCACCCAACACGGGUAGAGCAAUGCAUUGCUCCUUAGGCUCACCUAAGGAGGUUGUAGAGAUGAGCCCAAGGAAGGAAACCAGAAGAGUCCCUGGGUUCACCAGUUAUUUGUUGGCUCCCUACAAACUUGUCAUUCAAGUGGCUAAUCUUACACCAGUACCAGGUCUCACUCUAAGCCUAUGAAGUAGAAACCAUACACCUUUUAUGCAGGAGUAAAAUGAAGAGGUCAAGUAGCCUGCUUACAGUCACCCUGCAAUCAGCAACAAAGCCAAGAGUCAAGCCCGACAGCCAGGCCUGGUCUCGUAAACACUGUUCCAGCUGCUGUCCUCAGAUACAAAUCUUGCUCUCAAGAAGGUCGUAUUCUAGAAGCCUUAUUGCAGGACUGAAAACACUAAGUACCACUAGAGAAAUAGAAAUAAUGUGGAUGGGGAUUUCACAACAGGGCCUCUGGGAAAUUGUUUCCAGCUUAGAAAAUCAGAGGAAGCUUUAAGAAAGAAGUGGAAUUUGAGGCUUGAAGGAUUUAUUUGUGCAGAAGCAGGAACGAGAAAGGACAAACAAAAAGCCAGGGAUGAGAGGGGUAAGGUAUAGCUGAAAGACAGGAGGUAGUUGGUUCAAUCCAAGUGGACCCUGGGUUAUGUGCAGGACAGCAGGGAAGGCUGAGGCCUGAAACCUUCCCUAGGUGAAACCAGAUCACAAGGGGCUUCAAGUACCAAGCUAAAGAGUGUCUGUCUAAAAUUGAAGGUCCUUAAAUGGCUUUUCAGAGGACCAAAAAAAAAAAAAAAAAAAAAAAACCAAA
Callithrix jacchus (white-tufted-ear marmoset) is the source of this 14005-nucleotide long non-coding RNA. RefSeq lists it as uncharacterized. Lineage: Eukaryota; Metazoa; Chordata; Mammalia; Primates; Cebidae. The record is from RefSeq and is a predicted model, not a curated record.